UAAGGAGCACCACGAGAAGCGCCUCAAUUGGUGGGGCGCAAGCCGUGAGGGGUUCUCGCCUGUAGUGGGCGGGAGCCGGGUGCACAACAACAAGCGAACGGCCAGACACACUAUUGGGCCCUGAGGCAACACUCGGUUCGUUCUGAGUGCUGUCCCCCCAUCUUGGUGGUGGGGUGUGGUGUUUGAGUAUUGGAUAGUGGUUGCGAGCAUCUAGGCGGAUGCGUUGCCGGCAACGGCGGCGUAUUCGUCAAAAUGUGUAAUUUUUCUUUUGGUUUUUGUG
This 280-nucleotide unclassified non-coding RNA is filed under the name Mycobacterium parmense. RNAcentral's name for it is "partial 16S-23S ribosomal RNA intergenic spacer". Lineage: Bacteria; Bacillati; Actinomycetota; Actinomycetes; Mycobacteriales; Mycobacteriaceae. The record is from RNAcentral.